Molecule: ribosomal RNA, 292 nt
Filed under: uncultured bacterium
Lineage: Bacteria
Description: partial 16S ribosomal RNA
Rfam family: Bacterial small subunit ribosomal RNA
Source: RNAcentral
GUGUCAGCAGCCGCGGUAAUACGAAGGGGGCUAGCGUUGCUCGGAAUGACUGGGCGUAAAGGGCGCGUAGGCGGUUUGAUCAGUUAGGUGUGAAAUUCCUGGGCUUAACCUGGGGGCUGCACUUAAUACGAUCAGGCUAGAGUGUGGAAGAGGGUCGUGGAAUUCCCAGUGUAGAGGUGAAAUUCGUAGAUAUUGGGAAGAACACCGGUGGCGAAGGCGGCGACCUGGUCCAUUACUGACGCUGAGGCGCGAAAGCGUGGGGAGCAAACAGGAUUAGAUACCCCAGUAGUCC